CUGGUUGAUCCUGCCAGUAGCAUAUGCUUUCCUCCUGGAGAUUAAGCCAUGCAAGUCUAAGUAUAAGUUAUAUACGGCGAAACUGCGAACGGCUCAUUAAAACAGUUAUAAUUUAUUUGAUAAUGUUUUUAUAUGGAUAACCAUAUUGGGAAACUAUGGCUAAUACAUGCUUAAAGACCUCCGGGUUGUAUUUAUUAGUUUUGACCGAUCUCUGAUCGUGAUGAGUCAUAAUAACUGAUCGAAGCGCAUUUGUAUGUGCUAAAUCUUUCAAGUUUCUGCCCUAUCUGAUUGUUGGUAGUGUAUUGGACUACCAUGUCGAUCACGGGUAACGGAGAAUUAGGGUUCGAUUCCGGAGAGGGAGCCUGAGAAACGGCUACACAGCUACGGUAGGCAGCAGGUGCGUAAAUUACCCAAUCCAAAAUCUGGAAGGUAGUUACAGGAAAUUUGUAGCAUAGGCUUCUAGCCUAGACACAAACGAACACAUGUAAGUAUUGUGUGUUUAAUUGGAGGGCAAGUUUUGGUGCCAGCAGCCGCGGUAAUUCCAACUCCAAGAGUGUAUCUUAAUGUUGCUGCAGUUAAAAAGCUCGUAGUUGAACCUCUGGCUGUUGAUGAAACUUAUGUGAAUUCGGCAGUCAUCCGCUUGGAGAAGUAGUAUUUCCGUCAAAAGUUUUACUACAGACCCAGCAUUUUACUUUGAAGAAAUUAGAGUGUUCCUGGCAGGCUUAGCUUGCAUAUAUUAGCACGGAAUAAUGGAGUGGGACCUUUUCUGUUUUAUUGGUUAACGAAUAGGUAAUGAUUAACAGGGACAGUCGGGGGCAUUCGUACUCAGUGGCUAGAGGUGAAAUUCUUAGAUUCGCUGAAGACGAACUAAUGCGAAAGCAUUUGCCAAGGAUGUUUUCAUUAAUCAAGAACGAAAGUUAGGGGAUCAAAGACGAUUAGAUACCGUCGUAGUCCUAGCCAUAAGCUAUACCGACUAGGGAUUGGUGUGGGUCAUAAUCCAUAUCAGCACCUAAUGAGAAAUCAAAGUCUUUGGGUUCUGGGGGGAGUAUGGUCGCAAGGCUGAAACUUAAAGGAAUUGACGGAAAGGCACCACCAGGAGUGGAGCCUGCGGCUUAAUUUGAUUCAACACGGGGAAACUUACCAGGGCAAGACCUUAGAAGGAUUGACAGAUUGAUAGCUUUUUCUUGAUUUGAGGGAUGGUGGUGCAUGGCCGUUCUUAGUUCGUGGAGUGAUUUGUCUGGUUAAUUCCCUUAACGAACGAGACCUUAACCUGCUACCUAGACGCGGUUAUCUUUUAGCCGUUGUGCUUCUUAGAGGGACUAUGUGUCG
RNAcentral lists this ribosomal RNA (1329 nucleotides) under metagenome. RNAcentral describes it as "SSU rRNA". It matches the Rfam family "Eukaryotic small subunit ribosomal RNA", at positions 4 to 1429 of the family's 1831-position model. The record is from RNAcentral.